Molecule: ribosomal RNA, 535 nt
Filed under: uncultured Pseudomonadota bacterium
Lineage: Bacteria; Pseudomonadati; Pseudomonadota
Description: bacterial SSU rRNA
Rfam family: Bacterial small subunit ribosomal RNA
Source: RNAcentral
AGAGUUUGAUCAUGGCUCAGAACGAACGCUGGCGGCGUGCUUAACACAUGCAAGUCGAACGUGAUUGGAAGCUUGCUUCCAUGAAAGUGGCGCACGGGUGAGUAACGCGUGGAUAACCUGCCCUGGUAUCUGGGAUAACAUCUCGAAAGGGGUGCUAAUACCGGAUAAGCCCACGGAGCCUUCGGGUUCUGAGGGAAAAGGUGGCCUCUGUUUCAAGCUACCGUAUCAGGAUGGGUCCGCGUACCAUUAGCUAGUUGGUAGGGUAAUGGCCUACCAAGGCGACGAUGGUUAGCUGGUCUGAGAGGAUGAUCAGCCACACUGGAACUGAGACACGGUCCAGACUCCUACGGGAGGCAGCAGUGGGGAAUUUUGCGCAAUGGGGGAAACCCUGACGCAGCAACGCCGCGUGAGUGAUGAAGGCUUUCGGGUCGUAAAGCUCUGUCAGAGGGGAAGAAAUGAAAGGGUGCUAAUACCAUCUUUCUUGACGGUACCCUCAAAGGAAGCACCGGCUAACUCCGUGCCAGCAGCCGCGGUA